ACGUAGGGGGCAAGCGUUGCUCGGAAUUACUGGGCGUAAAGGGUGUGUAGGUGGCUGAUUAAGUUAAGGAUGAAAUCCCGAGGCUCAACUUCGGAACUGUCCUUGAUACUGGUCAGCUUGAGGCUAGUAAAGGAGAGCGGAAUUCCCGGUGGGGCGUUUAAGUGCGUAGAGAUCGGGAUGAACACCAGAGGCGUAGGGGGUACUCGAGGCUAGUCCUGACGCUGGGACACGUAAGCUAGGUGAGAGGAGGG
Molecule: ribosomal RNA, 251 nt
Filed under: uncultured prokaryote
Description: partial 16S rRNA
Rfam family: Bacterial small subunit ribosomal RNA
Source: RNAcentral